UGGCUCAGAGGUUAAAGCGUCUGCUUGGAAUGCAGGAGACCCGGGUUCGAUCCCUGG
Non-coding RNA from Bos taurus (domestic cattle), 57 nucleotides. The record is from Rfam. NCBI's taxonomy places the organism in Eukaryota, Metazoa, Chordata, Mammalia, Artiodactyla, Bovidae.